GGACCCGCACAAGCGGUGGAGUAUGUGGCUUAAUUCGAUGCAACGCGAAGAACCUUACCAAGGCUUGACAUGUAUUGCUAAGCACGUGAAAGCGUGUGACCCUUCGGGGACCUUACACAGGUGCUGCAUGGCCGUCGUCAGCUCGUGUCGUGAGAUGUUUGGUUAAGUCCAGCAACGAGCGCAACCCCUGUGAAUAGUUGCCAGCACGUAAUGGUGGGGACUCUAUUCAGACUGCCCAGGUCAACUGGGAGGAAGGUGGGGAUGACGUCAGGUCAGUAUGGCCCUUACGCCUUGGGCUGCACACGUACUACAAUGCCCAGUACAAUGAGAACCGAGACCGCGAGGUGGAGGAAAUCUGCAAAACUGGGCCCAGUUCGGAUUGGAGGCUGCAACUCGCCUCCAUGAAGUUGGAAUCGCUAGUAA
Molecule: ribosomal RNA, 423 nt
Filed under: uncultured bacterium
Lineage: Bacteria
Description: bacterial SSU rRNA
Rfam family: Bacterial small subunit ribosomal RNA
Source: RNAcentral